This is a non-coding RNA of Misgurnus anguillicaudatus (oriental weatherfish), 3003 nucleotides long. NCBI's taxonomy places the organism in Eukaryota, Metazoa, Chordata, Actinopteri, Cypriniformes, Cobitidae. The record is from RefSeq and is a predicted model, not a curated record.
CGGUUGAUAAAUCCUUCCUUAUAACUAACUUUGUAUAUUUCUACCUUUAAACUACAGUCGUAUUGUUAAGUGUUGUACCUUUAUUAAUCGUUUAAUGUUUUUAGUAAAUUAAAACAGUCAACAAACGUAUUUAGACACGGAUGUUACAACAGGACACAUCAAGCAAUCUCUUUUAACAAAGCAAUAGUGAAACGCAGUAACUUAAAUAAAGUAAAAUGUCUUACUGUGAAUUAUACUGCUGUGUCAUUGUUGUCAGAUCCAAUAUAAGUGGUGCUUCUGACUGAGUCUCUCUGCAAAUCCAGCAUCGACUUCUUUACAAAUGAAUCCAUGUCCACAACGUUAACAAACGCUCCCCACACGAGCUGGAACUUCUUCACAAGCAAACUUUAUCCACGCAUAUUGCUAAUGUUAAGUUCCAAGCCUCCGAAUUGAAGUAUUUAGCUUCUGUGUUGUUCCCACGCGGUUCUUCCACAACCGAAAAUGCGUUUCCAUGGUAUCAUAACAGAUCACCGCGUCAAAAUAAAAGUCUCUCAGAAAAAAAUGUAUUUAAAAAGUCAUUUUGGUUAAAUUUGUCAAUCUUUAAAGACAUGUUUACUUACUGAGACACACGUGUCACGCGAAGCUGUGGGCGGGGCUACAAAAGUAGACUUGUCCUUUUGGUUAUGGGGAGGUGUUUCAAUUCUACUUUGACGUCAUAGAUUUCCGAAUUUUAGACUGGAGUGUUUAGCUGGCUUGGUGCCAAAGACGGUUAUAUUUCAGUAGCACGGACGUUUUCAGUUCUGAAACUUGCAGGAUGUUCAUUUAAGUAUGAUGACCUCUUAUAUAACAAAUUAUCAAGUUAAAAUUGAGUUUUUGAUUCACCGCUCCUUUAAUACUCUGUUUAAAACACUUUGGCACUUUAAUACUUACUUGCUACAGAGCAUUAUACACUUUACGAUGUAAUUCCUUUUUAUUUAAAAUAAUGAUCGGACAAAACCAGAACAGAUCGCGUUCCCGACCGGACUCAUUUCAGCGUUACAACAGAUUUACAAUUUCAGCGACGGUGUUGACAUCUCUUCUCCAGAUCAAACUAACAUAAUAUGCUGCAUACCGAUUCAUAUUAUUCAUCUGAACCGUUCUCUAACUGAAUCCAUAGAGCUGUUUGGACGGCCAGACCAACAUCCAAAGGUCGCUACGAACUACCAUUGCCCCAUCUUCACUCUGAGCAAUGUAGAGAAACAUGGAUACCAGGUGUGCUAGAAAUGCAGAAGAGUGGCUACUGGCCUGCAACUGUAAACUUCUGUACCAUUUAUGAUGAGGAAGUCUUUGUGUCCUUCGAAGACUUGAAAAUGGCUGCUCCAGGAUUGUCCCGUUUUGCAUUCAUAAGAAUGCUUGACAUGAAGACAGUGCACUAUGGCAGAACUCAGCUGAAUCUAAAGAAAGACACCGAAAGCCUACAAGAACCUACAAUGAAAAUGAACUGGUUGUAGAUGAUGGUCACAGAUGUUCAGGAGUGGGCACACACUACAACUGUAGGAGACAGUGAUGUUGCAAUUCAGACAACAAGGAACACAAUAGAAGAAUUAUCUUUGUGCAUUAAACAACGGCAGCAUCGUCUUUAUAGACACACUGCCACAAUCAAAGGACGGAAUAAAAUAAGAAGAAAAAUCAAUGAGGAGAAAAAGAAGCUUGCUUUUGCCAUUGAACACCACAAUGCCCUUGUUGACCCCACCCAGAAAAAUUAACCCCUGGAAUCUUCCAGAUGAUGGGAUUCAAGGACUUCAAUGUGUGUUGAAGAGAAAAUUACAUCAGUUAAGAGCUCACCAGGGCACUGUAAAAACAAGUUAUCAGACAAUAGACAUCAUAAACGAACAAAUUACUGUUGAAGAAUGUAAAUAUCCCAGCUGGCCAUAAGGCUCAGAAGCCCUUUAUUCAAGCAGUGCUGAUCUGAGCUCUGAUGAAGAUGAUACAUGUCUGCUGUAGUUAUUUACUAAAUACGUUGCAGUUUUUUUUCUUUCACUUUAUCUAUUACUCUUCUUUCUCAAUCAGUCUUCUCUUUUUUUUUUUUUUUUUCGCUCUGAUUGCAUGUGUGCCUGCCUUAUACCAUGGGAGAUGAAAUAUUAACUUUUUAAUAAAGUAUGGAUUAAAAUGUUAAUUUGGGUUUUUCUGAUGGGAUUUACAGACAUAUAUCCUGUGCAUUUUUACAGACAUGUCCUACAGUGGAUUGCUGGGAUUGGGGGCUGUAAGAGUAUUUUGAGAAAUGUUUCUAUUUUGUGUGCAACAGAAGAUUAUUUCCAAAUCUAAACAAUGAUAAAUAAAAAGUAAUUAUAUUUACUCGUCGUUACUUGCUGUAUUCUUUAAGAAAAUUGCUUUAAAUUGUAAAUUCAUAUAAAUAAUGUACAUGCAUGCGUGUACACUAUUACUAAAGUGUAAAUUGGGAGACAAACAUUACAAUGUUCAAUUCUUUGUGACAUUAAUAAAUUACAAACAAGGAUUUAAUUUUUGAUGGGCAAAUACUUGAAUAGGUCACCAUUACAGUGCUUAUAGUUUUAAUAACAAAGUUUGGGAUAAACACGUUUAAAUACCCUUACGAAAAUUAACCAUGGUUUUACUACAGUUAAAACAAAAAAACCAUGGUUACUGUAGUAAAACCAUAGUAACUACAAAAUUACCAUGGUUUUGACAACCAUGGUUUUCAGAAACCAUAGUUAAACCAUGGUUAGUGUAGUAAAACCAUACACUAAAAUACACCAAAAAAACCAUGGUUACUACACUUUUACUACAAUAAAACCAUGGUUAAUUUUCGUAAGGGUAAAUCUAAAUCAUCAUGUAUUGCGUGUUUCCAGUGACCAGCAUGGAUACGAAGCCUCCGGAGUUCGCAUAUGCAGGCUGCAUACGUCAUCAAGCCUUGUUUAAGUUUACUAUUACAUUCGCAAUGUAUUUAUUUUUUUUAAGAAAUACGAUGAGACAUUUCAUGUAGGCUACCGUUUUGAUUUUUGCCUACUUGUUUUGUUUUUUUUUUCC